CUUCUUGUGCUCUGGGAUUGU
RNAcentral lists this microRNA (21 nucleotides) under Macaca mulatta (Rhesus monkey). RNAcentral describes it as "mml-miR-578". Its record names the gene mml-miR-578. Lineage: Eukaryota; Metazoa; Chordata; Mammalia; Primates; Cercopithecidae. The record is from miRBase by way of RNAcentral.